AACGAACGCUGGCGGCAUGCCUAACACAUGCAAGUCGAACGAGACCUUCGGGUCUAGUGGCGCACGGGUGCGUAACGCGUGGGAACCUGCCCUUAGGUUCGGCAUAACUCCCCGAAAGGGGUGCUAAUACCGGAUAAUGUCUUCGGACCAAAGAUUUAUCGCCUUUGGAUGGGCCCGCGUUGGAUUAGCUAGUUGGUAGGGUAAAAGCCUACCAAGGCGACGAUCCAUAGCUGGUCUGAGAGGAUGAUCAGCUACACUGGGACUGAGACACGGCCCAGACUCCUACGGGAGGCAGCAGUGGGGAAUAUUGGACAAUGGGCGAAAGCCUGAUCCAGCAAUGCCGCGUGAGUGAUGAAGGCCUUAGGGUUGUAAAGCUCUUUUACCCGGGAUGAUAAUGACAGUACCGGGAGAAUAAGCUCCGGCUAACUCCGUG
This 433-nucleotide ribosomal RNA is filed under the name uncultured bacterium. RNAcentral's name for it is "partial 16S ribosomal RNA". It matches the Rfam family "Bacterial small subunit ribosomal RNA", at positions 29 to 507 of the family's 1533-position model. The record is from RNAcentral.